Tupaia belangeri chinensis (Chinese tree shrew) is the source of this 1319-nucleotide long non-coding RNA. RefSeq lists it as uncharacterized. Lineage: Eukaryota; Metazoa; Chordata; Mammalia; Scandentia; Tupaiidae. The transcript is spliced from 3 exons. The record is from RefSeq and is a predicted model, not a curated record.
AGAGUAACAUCCAAGGGCUAGGGGUGGGGGCGAGUAUUUCUGGGGUAAUGAAAAUGUUCUAGUUGAUUGUGGUGGGAAACGCUCUGAUAUUCGCAAUUUACUGAGAGCUGCUGAAUUGUAGAUGUGAAAAGGGUGAAUUGUGUGCCGUGUGAAUUAGACCUCAGUAAAGCUGUUUUAAAAACUUUUCUCAAUGAUCAUAACCAAAAGUUGUAAUGUGGCCAAACAUGGACUUCUGACUUCUUGGUCCUCCCAGACUUGCUCCCUGCUGGCUUCUCAGAUGGACCAGCUACACCGAGUGCUCCAUCCAAACAACCAGCGUGGUCUCGGCUUGCUUCCCUGUGGCCGCACAUCCGGCACAAGCCGUCAGGAGCCUGCGAGAGAGACCCAUGGAAACAAUCCGUCUGGUUUGUGCAUUUCAUCUCUUAGAAUUCCAGCCAGGUCCAUGGGCAGCAGGCGUGGGAGAUGCUUGAUGGAAACAGCUCAGACACUGAGCACAUCCCCAGCCAGGGAAAGCCUCAAGACUGAGCAUGGCCAUAGAAACUGACAAUGCGAAAUGUACAAGGGAACUGUUUCCAGGCUACCCUGGAAAACUGGAAGUUCAUGUCGGAGUCGGAAAAUGGCAAUGAUAUUUGCCCUAGAAAAGGGAGAACUCAGUAAAAUGAGUUGAGACUUUUCUUUUUACAAAUGAAGUCAUUUUUUAAAAAAAAUCUUACAUUAAAGUCUGUUGUUGGGACCCAUGGCUGUGGAACAGGAUGAAAAUGUCACAUCAAUAUACUAGAUUUGAACUGAAAACUUUGCCUGAGACCCUGUAAGAUGAAGAUAAACGAAUAAGAAAAUGAUGGGAAUGGUCUUCCCUAAAGGAAACAAUUUUAGGUUUAGAUAUUAUUACCACAAGGGGGAAAAAAAAGAAAAAGACUACACUACUCUAAACUCACCACCUCUACAGUGAUUCAUAAGAUAUUUAUAAGGACAGAAAACACCACUACGAAUACGCACUACGUGAACACUGAUCGCAUUUUAAAAAUUUCAUAUAUGCAUGUUCAGGAUACAAGAAGAUAAUAAAGAUUACGGCUUCUCCAGUCUCUGCAGACAUGACCCACUGUCAUUAGAGUGCCGUUACGAUGAUGAGUGUGAAGAGGGAACUCUUAAAAUUGAAUUGGCUAAAUGUAGUCUUAAAAGCUAUAUUCUUAAUUGCUCACUUGCUACUUACCUAAGCUGUAUUUCCAGAAAUUUCUGUAAAUACAGUGACCUAAAGUACUACCAAUGCAGUGAAGAGCGUGCUUGCUUUCUAUUAAAACUCUCCAUCUCUUUGCUUUUCC